CUUAGCGGCGGACGGGUGAGUAACGCGUGGACAACCUGCCCUAUGCAGGGGGAUAACAUCCGGAAACGGGUGCUAAUACCGCAUAAGCGCACAGUACCGCAUGGUACGGUGUGAAAAGCUGAGGCGGCAUAGGAUGGGUCCGCGUUGGAUUAGGCAGUUGGCGGGGUAACGGCCCACCAAACCGACGAUCCAUAGCCGGCCUGAGAGGGUGGACGGCCACAUUGGGACUGAGACACGGCCCAGACUCCUACGGGAGGCAGCAG
This 263-nucleotide ribosomal RNA is filed under the name uncultured bacterium. RNAcentral's name for it is "partial 16S ribosomal RNA". It matches the Rfam family "Bacterial small subunit ribosomal RNA", at positions 91 to 354 of the family's 1533-position model. The record is from RNAcentral.